UACGUAGGGUGCAGGCGUUAAUCGGAAUUACUGGGCGUAAAGCGUGCGCAGGCGGUUUGCUAAGACAGGUGUGAAAUCCCCGGGCUCAACCUGGGAAUGGCGAUGGUGACUGCAAGGCUAGAGUUUGGCAGAGGGGGGUAGAAUUCCACGUGUAGCAGUGAAAUGCGUAGAUAUGUGGAGGAACACCGAUGGCGAAGGCAGCCCCCUGGGUCAAAACUGACGCUCAUGCGCGAAAGCGUGGGGAGCAAACAGG
Molecule: ribosomal RNA, 253 nt
Filed under: uncultured bacterium
Lineage: Bacteria
Description: partial 16S ribosomal RNA
Rfam family: Bacterial small subunit ribosomal RNA
Source: RNAcentral